This 460-nucleotide ribosomal RNA is filed under the name uncultured bacterium. RNAcentral describes it as "partial 16S ribosomal RNA". It matches the Rfam family "Bacterial small subunit ribosomal RNA", at positions 338 to 795 of the family's 1533-position model. The record is from RNAcentral.
CCUACGGGUGGCUGCAGUGGGGAAUAUUGGUCAAUGGGCGCGAGCCUGAACCAGCCACGUCGCGUGAAGGAUGACUGCCCUACGGGUUGUAACCUUCUUUUAUAAAGGAAUAGAGUGAGGCACGUGUGCCUUUUUGUAUGUACUUUAUGAAUAAGGAUCGACUAACUCCGUGACAGCAGCCGCGGUAAUACGUAGGAUCCGAGCGUUGUCCGGAUUUAUUGGGUUUAAAGGGAGCGUAGAUGGGUUGUUAAGUCAGUUGUGAAAGUUUUCGGCUCAACCGUAAAAUUGCAAUUGAUACUGGCAGCCUUGAGUACAGUUGAGGUAGGCGGAAUUCGUGGUGUAGCGGUGAAAUGCUUAGAUAUCACGAAGAACUCCGAUUGCGAAGGCAGCCUACUAAACUGCCACUGACAUUGAUGCUCGAAAGUGUGGGUAUCAAACAGGAUUAGAUACCCGUGUAGUC